RNAcentral lists this ribosomal RNA (406 nucleotides) under uncultured bacterium. RNAcentral describes it as "partial 16S ribosomal RNA". It matches the Rfam family "Bacterial small subunit ribosomal RNA", at positions 30 to 526 of the family's 1533-position model. The record is from RNAcentral.
AUUGAACGCUGGCGGCAGGCCUAACACAUGCAAGUCGAACGAGUGGCGGACGGGUGAGUAUUGUCUGGGAAACUGCCUGAUGGAGGGGGAUAACUCCUGGAAACGGUAGCUAAUACCGCAUACCAUCUGAUAUGCCCAGAUGGGAUUAGCUAGUGGGUGGGGUAACGGCUCACCCAGGCGACAAUCCCUAGCUGGUCUGAGAGGAUGACCAGCCACACUGGAACUGAGACACGGUCCAGACUCCUACGGGAGGCAGCAGUGGGGAAUAUUGCACAAUGGGCGCAAGCCUGAUGCAGCCAUGCCGCGUGUAUGAAGAAGGCCUUCGGGUUGUAAAGUACUUUCAGCGGGGAGGCGUUAACCACAGAAGAAGCACCGGCUAACUCCGUGCCAGCAGCCGCGGUAAUAC